This 345-nucleotide ribosomal RNA is filed under the name uncultured bacterium. RNAcentral describes it as "partial 16S ribosomal RNA". It matches the Rfam family "Bacterial small subunit ribosomal RNA", at positions 338 to 675 of the family's 1533-position model. The record is from RNAcentral.
CCUACGGGGGGCCGCAGUGGGGAAUAUUGCGCAAUGGGCGAAAGCCUGACGCAGCGACGCCGCGUGAGGGAUGAAGGUCUUCGGAUCGUAAACCUCUGUCAGCAGGGAAGACCGGUCACUGUGCUAAUCAGCAGUGAAUUGACGGUACCUGCAAAGGAAGCACCGGCUAACUCCGUGCCAGCAGCCGCGGGAAUACGUAGGGUGCGAGCGUUAAUCGGAAUUACUGGGCGUCAAGCGCUCGUAGGCGGUAUGUCAAGGCAAGGGUGAAAUACCCGCGCUCAAAGUGGGAAAUGCCUUUGAAACUGGCAAACUGGAGGGGGUGAGAGGAUAGUGGAAUUCCAGGUG